UUGAAACUAAUAAAGUGAAGCUGAAGAGGGCGGGGUUGCGGGGUUUCUUUUUAAAACCCUCCAUAAAAACUAGACAACAAAACAGGAACACUCCCUUUCUCUCCGUCCGUCCGUCCAUCCAUCCAUCCGUUUCGAUCUGAUGGUUUGUCUUUGGGAUUCGUGCAGUCUCGACCUCAAUUUUCUCUCGCUUUCUCUGCUCUGGACUAAAGACAGUCACAGUAGUGAAGUAGUACCUCCUCUCCUCGAAAACCCCUUCAAGCCCACAUUUUCUUUUUGUUCUCUCUUUUGUUUGGUAUUCUUGUUUUUGUUUCUCUCUCAUUUUUUUUCUUCUUUUCUCUAGUUUUAGAAUACUAGGGUUUGAGAUGUUCCCUGCUAUUCGGAUCCAAGGCCAAGAUGGCCCCGGCCCCGGCCCCGGCCCCGGCCCCGGCAUUCCCCUUGAGAGAUGGCAUCUGCUCAAAAGUUUAGAGACAAGAUUGAUGCAGAUGACCUCCACCGAAAGGCUUUGGUUCCAUUCCAGCAUUGGACAUGAAAAACUAAUCAGUAAGGUGCUGUUGGAAGAUAUGGAUUGAUAUAGUUGAGAUUUGGAAUAGGGAAUGAAGCCAUUGGUCCGUGUAGCGUAGGGAAACAACAGCGUAUUAUAUUCGAUUUUUGUUGUAAAUUUGAAUCUAUUUUGAAUUGAUUAAGAUGUUAGAAACAAUGCUUUACUUUCUCUGUUCAUGCUCUC
Molecule: long non-coding RNA, 724 nt
Organism: Tripterygium wilfordii
Lineage: Eukaryota; Viridiplantae; Streptophyta; Magnoliopsida; Celastrales; Celastraceae
Exons: 2
Source: RefSeq, a predicted model, not a curated record